Podarcis lilfordi (Lilford's wall lizard) is the source of this 7717-nucleotide non-coding RNA. The record is from the annotation of a GenBank genome assembly. NCBI's taxonomy places the organism in Eukaryota, Metazoa, Chordata, Lepidosauria, Squamata, Lacertidae.
AAGGGAGAGCAGGAGGGACCUAGUUGAGAUACUGUCUCUGGUUUCUGCCCAGAUGACACUCACCUGUGACAGGAACUUCUCGAUAGAGUUUCCCCUUUUAUGGAAUGCCCUCCCGGGUGAGGUUCCUCCGUCUCCCUCAUUAUUAACAUUCAGGUGGAAGUUAGAAACAAUCUUGUUCAUUCAGAGAUUUGACAGCUGAAGUAUGCUGCUGCUGGCAACCUUGAAAUUAAUUAGCUGUGAGGAUUUUUGAACGUUUAAAAAAGUUGUAUCGCUUUGCUCUUUGAUUGCUUGCUGCCCUGACAAGGAGGACAGGAUAAAAAUGUAUUAAUCAAAAUAAUAAACAAACUAACAAACAAUUGCACAAAAAUGGGACUGAGAGGUUUUAGCCCUCUUCAGGCGUUAUACUGCUGUGUUAAGCAAACGUGAGCAGCAGUCCUCUGCCUCCCUCUCCCAUCGCCUUCCUGAUCUCCUUCCAAGAGCUGGGCGGUGAUAUUCUGACCAGAGGGCUUCUUGUUCUCAAGGAGGAUUGCUGUACAUCCUAGAAAAAAAAUGGAAGGGCGAUGUGGGGGGAGGCAGAGCCAGAGUACUUGUCCACAUGGGCCUCCUCAUAUGCUUGCUUACCUAAUUUAUUUUAUUUAUUUCAGAAAACAUUUCUAUGCCGCAUUUCACAAAAUUUAUCAAAGUGGUAUAUAACAAUUUAAAACAAGAACAUUUCAUUUUCAUAUACACACCAUACAUGAGAUCGAUAGUAGAUAACAGAACAAAACUAAAUAGCAAUAUAAUGUUUGAAGAGGGCUUAAUCCGCAGUCAUUCAUCAUUAUUAUUUUAAAGGGUUGGUUUGUGUCCAUACAAGAAACACAAUGAUAGCAACAUAAGGUCAAACUGAAAUAAAACCGGAAUGGAACCAUCCAUGGAAAAAGGCCUGAUGCAUAGGGCAGGGGAGGGAAAGAGAGGAGUGGGUCAGCUCCUUUUGCUCUUUUUCAAUUUGCAGCGGGGAUAUAAAACACCUUUGCACUUAGCUAGGGACAGAGCUCAGCAUCAGCUUGCCAUAAAACUCGGUAAUUUUUGUAAUCAAUAAUACAUAACGCAGCUAGUCCAUGUAUGGUGAGUAAGGAUAUUCCUUCUGCCCACUGCUGGACUUUGUUCACUUCCCCAGUGUUUUAAAAUGAUACGUACAGGGACAAGAAGGGCAUGACUAAUCCCAUUUCUGCUCUCCUGGAAUAAGUGCCCACACAAUAGGGAAACACCCCAUCGAUGCUACUUGGUCUGUGAACUUUAGUUCUGUCUCCAGGACCAAGUUGAUGUGAACUGUGGCCUCUGCCCGGAACUGAAAAACAACAGAACAGCAGGCUAUCGUGUAGAAGCCUUCUGUGUUAUUGGAUUGUCAGCAGUUGGAGGAGGAAAGCAUAUUUUCCUUAAAUACCCAUGAGGAGACAAGUAUGUCCUUACAAUCAUUUUGCUAUAUGAGGUGCCAUCUCAAAUCUAGUUAAGGUUAUAGCAGAAAGAGAGCGCAGCGUUCCACUUAUUUAGAUAGACUUGUUUCUUUAGUUCCCAGUUCCCAUUCUGCACAUGGGUGUUAAUUUAGCUGCAUUCAUAAGCCAACAGUAAAAAGCUGUUGCAGGUCCCCUAAUAUGGGGCCCCGGGGGGGGGCAGUUCAGAAGCACUGAGGGCAAAAUGACCAAAUACAUGUUUCAGUCAUAAAUACUGCUACUCAGGGGUGUCAGGUAAUGCAUAUGUUUAUUGAACAUGUCUUGUGGGAACUGGAUGUCAGCCCAUGUCUUCCACAAAACUCAUAGCCAUUAAUAAGUGUUAAACCAUAGUCUACUACAGUAUAUAUAUUUAGGGGUGGGGCAUUCUAAUUUAUUAAUAUAUAUUCAGAGGAGGAAUUUUAUUGCAAAGGCCAAUUCUGCACUGCCACUACUGUUUUACUUUGCAUUUUUAUCUUGUGAACCACCCUGAGUUCUUGUGUUGAAAGGCGGUAUAUCAGUCAGUCAAUCAAUCAAUCAAUCAAUCAAUCAAUCGUUCAAGUAAAUAAAUAACAAGAGAAUAUGCUAUGCAUGCAAAAUAUUGCAGGGCCAUCUUCAAAAGAAUUGCAUAGACAAUUUGGCUAACAGAAACUUGCCAUGAGGGGAAAUUUCCUCUGGGUUGCUCCAUUGCUAAUAAAAUUCAAUACAGUUCAGUAAUUGUUCUGACUAGGUAUUCAAUCCGCAAAGCAACGAGUGCAGUGGUUCUGCUUGGACGAUAUAUACUGCUUUAUAUAGAAAUUGAAAAGAAGGUUUCCCUAUUAUAAGCCUCAUUUAUGUAGAACAUUAAAAGAUCUUCUCAUAUGGGCUAUAGUUGUUAUUUAGAUAUGGGUUAUAUCAGGGUAGCCACUUUUACUGGACCAUGAUUUGGUGAUUAUUGUACUUGACAUUUAUCUUGGGAGAGAUGAGACUUCUUUGAGUGUAUUCUGCUGUGGCAAUCAUGCCCACUGUAUAUAGCAAGCAUCUUCACUAUCUACUGAUACCCCUUUGGAGGUUAAUCUAUUGUAAAAUUAGAUUGUAAAAAUGGACGUAGAUUUCACAUUUACAUAUUGGUGCUUAAAGGGUUUGUGAAAUGAUUCAAAUGCUGUAAAAUAUUCCUAAUGCAGCUGAGGUUGAAGCAUAAUUCAUGUGUGAUAUGUAAGCCAUGCAAAUGAACAUGGAUUCUUUCUUAUGGACCCUUUCUGCUUUCAAUUCAUCUUUCAGAGGUUCUUACCCUCCCAAUUUGAUUGCCUUAAGAACACAGAUUGUCUUUUCUCGAUGGCGAAACUACUUUAAUCCCCCUUUCCAGAGGUCAACUAAUCUCCAGUCUUAAGUGCCAUAGAUGCAAAUACACUUCUCCUGCAAUGUUCCUCCUAAUUUAAUUCCCUUCUAAGCUUUCGCGUAUAAACCAAGUAAUGGAACCAGUUUGGAAGGGGUCAAAAGGUUUCUGUUCCAGUAAAAUUUAAAUUGACAUCAUACACUGAUAAUGGUAUGCGCUGCUCUACUAUAAACAUUUGCUGCCACUUUUUCAGCGAAUCAUUUUGUACCCUAGCAGCUAGACACUGAACAAAGGUGCUGCUUUGUUAUAACUCAAGUUACAGCUUUUGCUUUCCUGUAAAAGUACCCUCCUGCAACUCAGAACACAUGGAAGACAAAAAUCAAUUGACUUUGUUCAUAUUUCUACCAUUAUCCUCAAAUGAACCCAGAAACAUGCAUUCCAGCUGUGCUUGGUUAAAAGCUAUAUUAUUUAAUUUCUUUGGAUAUUAUACUUUUGCCUGCUUUAGUUGGUACAAAGCUACCUGAUUUCUUGAGUAUGAGACAUUUGUAACUAUGCUAACGUGCACUCGAUGCACUGAAGCCAUUUCCAAAAUCCCUUGGUGGGGCGCCUCAUCUGAUUGCUCAUGGCUUUCCUAUUUGGCUUGGUUGUAUGUACUUGUAUAUUUGCAUGCUUUAUUUGAGUUUGUGGAUAGAUGCCCAAGUUAGGCACACUUGACUGAUCUCAUGAGCAGCGCAUUCACAGUAUUGAUUCUAGCUAGAGAAAUGCCAGUCCUAUUGAGGAACACUGCCUGCUACUAUCACCACCACCACCACCAUCACACAUUUAAGUAGCGCUUAUUUAGUAGCAAUCAUAUUGCUUAUUAAUAACAUGUGAACAUACAGAGUAUUUGCACGUGCAUUGUGUCAGCAAAAUAUGCUGUCAUGUGUAAAAGGAAGCUUUGUUAUUAAACUCGAGAGAAAGCUGGCGUUAUCAGCUGGGGACGUUUUAAGCAGACUGGCCUGAUAAAUGUACUGUUCUUGUGGAUUAUUUCUUCCCUUUGUGCAGGAACUCUGGCUCUGUGUCAGAGCCUAGGCCUGACAGAAUCCAGAGCAUGCAACUAUACUAAUUUAUUAUUAAAGGCCAUGGGGAGCCAGUGGCUCACUAGACAAGAAGUAGCAGCACAGAGGACCAGGCCUGGAUUGUGUUGUGUGGCACUUUUCCUUCUUUGAAGCACAUGGCUGAUUCCUGCUACUUUAUAACAUUCGGAAAGUCUUCUUGCGACUAUCUUAAAGGGGGAGGAAUUUGCCAUUGUUACUGAUUAACACAUAAUCAUUUAAGGUUAACAAUAUAUAUAUUUGAAUGUGCUACCCAGUGCUUUUUUCCGGAGGGGGGGGGAUGCAGGGAUACGCAUACCCCUAAACAUUUUGUGAAUCUAAGUUUGGCCUCAUUGAAGGGCAGUAUUUCAAUAUGAGUAGGAAAACAUUUUAUUUAUUUAUUUUAUGUUGGUGCUACCAGACCACAUGUAAUUUAUCUGAAAUGCAUUUUUAAAAACCUCACCCAAUUUUCAGGUUAUAAUAAAGCACAAGACAUUGUUAGCCUCACCUUAGCAUCCUUUUUUAUAAUAGCCACUUUGGUAUUCAUAAGAAUUAUGAUUUGCAUGACCAUUCUGGGAAAUAAAACAUUGUCUUCUUGGUAUCUUUUAAAGGACCUCCAGUCACAAAUCAUGCACUUUGCUGUCCCUUUUGUUGUUAACCUCCCUAAAUAAUUUUGGGGUGAUCAGCAGGUCUGGACACCUCACUGCUUACCCCAAAUAAUUUGUAACCAAGUUGAAAAGCAAUGGAUUUGACAUUACCCUCAUUUCCUUUUAUUGAGAUUUUCUCAGUUACCAUAUGAGCCACAAACAUUUUUAAAAGGGGGAGGUUCCAUAGUCAAGUAUAAGUUUAUGUUGGCAAGGAAAUUCAGGAAAAAACUGAAACUUAUUCAAAACUGUUGUUAAGCAUGUUUCCACACACUACCUUACUUUCCCUUUUUCACCUGCAAUGCUAAUGGCUGGACAAAGCUGCCACUAGCGGUUAACCAGAGCUUUGACUAGCCUGCAACUGCAGGAUCAUUUUUCGUUAUUGCUGCUUUGGAAGGAAUGGCUGCAAAAUUUAGGAAACAUGGCUUUCAUUAGAUUUCCUACCCCUAGAAGCCUCUUCUGGAUCCUUGAAACAUGCCCCUGUCAGCCUGGAAUCUUCGUCACAGGUCUGAAAUCCAUUUCCCACAACGUUACGAAUUAAGAAGCUGCAAAGACCGAUCUGUGCGUUUGUGCUGUAGGAGGACCGCUGAUAUGCAGCAGAGCUGUCAUUUCAACAGGAAACCAUCCAUCAUUUGCCUGCUAGUCCUCAAUAAUCACCUUCUAUUACAGUCAGAUUGAAUCUUCAAUUGGUGGCAUUAUGCCAGGUUUCCUACAGUUCUCGAUUUCCUGUACUUUACAGAGGUAUUCAAAAUAAUUUACCGUUUAGUUCAAGAGACGUAUUCGUCCUGAAAAAUAUUAUUGUCAUUAACCUGUUGAUGCCAAAAGGUUUGGGAAGUGUAACCCUUGAUCUCUCCCUUUAAAGGUUUCUUUUUUCUGACUGUAAGUAUGCUGUAAUAUUUGUAUUUUUUUAUGCCGUCCACACUGAUGCAAUGUAAAAAUGGAAAUAUGGUGGGCAAUGACCCUUUCCCUAACAAUAUAAGCAAUGACCUGAUUAUAAAGAUUACAUCAAGCAGAAAGGUAAGGGUGCCAGUGCAGGGAAUAAUCAAGCAAAUAGUGAAAAUAGCAACCAGUAAGAAAUAGCAACCAGUAAGAACGUAAGGCUGUGCAUACCCUCCACUUCUAAGCUAGAGUAGAAGUCAAGAAAAACAACUAAAUUUAUCCUGUCAAUUUUAUUUCUUUGCUAUAAUAACACAUCCUGUCUACACAAGGGUACCAUUGCUACUGUUAAAAUGUAUUGAUGGUUUUCAGAGACCCAGAAUGGAACCGCAGAGAUACAGAGGUGGAAAAGUACUGGUUUCAGUUCCUUUCCUUGUCAUUCUUUGGAACACAUUGUGUGUGUUUAAAUUAAGUGUAAAGGAAACACAGCAUGAUCCAAAAUGAAAUUUUAUCACUGCCUUUCAUCUUGGUCAUAGUGUCAUUUUUGCAUACUGAUCACCAUUAGAAACAUAGGAACUUAAGAAGCUGGCUUAUUUUCAAGUCAGAAGAUUGGUCCAUCUAGGUCAGUGCUGUACACACUGACCAGCAGGGGACUUUCCCGGACCUACCUGGAGAUGCCGGGAAUCUCAAAGUCUAAACAUACCCUGAUCCAUGCACCCUUUUGCAUGUUUAGCUGCUUCCUCCAUCAAGGUGCAUGAUGAUGUCUUUGCAAGGAACUACCGGAACACAGUGUGGUAUUUGUCUUUCCAGUGAUUGCAUAUGCUCAGAGGCACUGUUUGCCAUUGCUUCACUUGUUCCAGAAGUGAAAAUAGGUACUAAAAAGCCCAGUGGGACUGAGUCUUGUUUGGGCCUUGGGUCAUUAGUUUGUAUCCAGUGGUUUCACUCAGGUGACAGUAAGGGUUUGUCAGCAGAAUGGAAAGGGAAGCAAUUUUGGGAUUCCACCAAAUCCCCCAGAGGGUUAGGGGACUCUCCAAAGCAGAUUUAGGGGGGCACUGGAGCUGCAGGGGGAUGAAAUUGAUGAAAAUCCCCUGUCCCCAUUCUGCUUACAGAACUCUUAAUCAUCUGAGCAACACCACUGGCUACUGCCUUCAGAUGGUGAAACAACUUGACUGAUUUCAGUUUCUCCGUCUCCUGACUUGUAAGGGACCUCAUUUGCUACUCCAACUCAGGCAGCUAAAUGUUCUGGGCUGGACCCAUUUGUGCAUCUUGAAUAUUGGUAGGAUCUUGAGAGUAUUAGUUUUUGCCUGGGGCUUUCACUGGCAUGUUUUUGGCAAUCUGAUGGACUGUGAUGAUGUCCUGGUGUGCUGUAGUGUAAAAAAUGGGUGUAAGAAAACACUGAAGACCAAAGGUGUCUAUGACUGCAUUAAUAUUUUUCAGAGCUGCUGUAACUACGCCAGAAGACUCUAUUGUAGCAGAAGUGCACCAUGACCACUAACUUUCUGGCAUUUGUCAUGUACACAAAAAUAACAUGAGAGUAUAUUAUUCCCAUGCAAAAUAUGCAGAGCAACUUUGUCUCUGGUUUCUGGUCCAUUCUGGUGUAUGUCUUUGAGCAAUGAAUACAUUAUCCUAUCUUAGUUUAACAUCCUGGUGGUGUGUGUGACCGGGUGGGAGGAAGCAUUCCCAAACGAUGACUUUCUUUUUUUUCAACAACUGUCAUAAAAGAGAAGGAUAGGGUUUUUCUUUUUCUUUUUGCCAUCCAGUUUCUUGAUUCUGCAGUAAAAAUGGGUGAGUGUGUUUGUGGGGGAGUGGCUGUACCAUUGUGCAUGCCUCGUAUCCAGCAGAAGAAAAUAGGAAAUAUUUCACCCUGGCUCAAAAAGGGUGGGGAUUUCUUUGUUUCUUUUUAUAUUUAUCCAGGAAAAGCUGACAAUCGUCCCACAUUAAUGAACAACACCAUCAAUCACAGCACUGACAAUGAGCGGAAAAGCGAGGUAUAUGUCAGACUGACGACAUAUUGCUUUUUUCAGCUAGGGCAUGGCUGUUUAUAGCCCUUUUUUUUUUGGUCUGGCAAAAGGCUUACUGCUUUGGGAUGGAACUACAAAGAAGACUGUGCAAUAAAUCUAGAAAUAUGCUUUGUUGCUUCAGAACUUUUAGCACUCAUUUGCUUUCAUUUUUUUUAAAGCGCUAAGCAAGUUAAAGCAUGGAAUGCACAAAAGUAUUUUCUUUCACCCCAGUCCUGAGGGAAUGUUGAUGCCAAUGCUAAGAGGGUUGGACCUCAUAGUCCUCCUUCUGUUAAGUCCUUGUGUGUAGUUUGCUUGUUAUUUGCAUUUGUACCUGUUUUCUGGC